This 1221-nucleotide ribosomal RNA is filed under the name metagenome. RNAcentral describes it as "bacterial SSU rRNA". It matches the Rfam family "Archaeal small subunit ribosomal RNA", at positions 223 to 1445 of the family's 1478-position model. The record is from RNAcentral.
UAUCAGGUAGUAGUGGGUGUAGCGUACCUACUAGCCUACGACGGGUACGGGUUGUGAGAGCAAGAGCCCGGAGAUGGAUUCUGAGACACGAAUCCAGGCCCUACGGGGUGCAGCAGGCGCGAAAACUUUACAAUGCUGGCAACAGCGAUAAGGGGACCUCGAGUGCCAGGUUACAAAUCUGGCUGUCGUGAUGCCUAAAAAGCAUUGCAUAGCAAGGGCCGGGCAAGACCGGUGCCAGCCGCCGCGGUAACACCGGCGGCUCGAGUGGUAACCGUUAUUAUUGGGUCUAAAGGGUCUGUAGCCGGCCGGAUAAGUCUCUUGGGAAAUCUGGCAGCUUAACUGUCAGGCUUUCAGGAGAUACUGUCUGGCUCGAGACCGGGAGAGGUGAGAGGUACUUCAGGGGUAGGGGUGAAAUCUUGUAAUCCUUGAAGGACCACCAGUGGCGAAGGCGUCUCACCAGAACGGACCUGACGGCAAGGGACGAAAGCUAGGGGCACGAACCGGAUUAGAUACCCGGGUAGUCCUAGCCGUAAACGAUACUCGCUAGGUGUCGGCCACGGUGCGACCGUUGUCGGUGCCGUAGGGAAGCCGUGAAGCGAGCCACCUGGGAAGUACGGCCGCAAGGCUGAAACUUAAAGGAAUUGGCGGGGGAGCACCACAACGGGUGGAGCUUGCGGUUUAAUUGGAUUCAACGCCGGAAAUCUUACCGGGACCGACAGCAAUAUGAAGGCCAGGCUGAAGACUUUGCCGGAUUAGCUGAGAGGUGGUGCAUGGCCGUCGUCAGUUCGUACUGUGAAGCAUCCUGUUAAGUCAGGCAACGAGCGAGACCCACGCCCACAGUUGCCAGCGUACUCUCCGGAGUGACGGGUACACUGUGGGGACCGCCGCUGCUAAAGCGGAGGUAGGAAUGGGCAACGGUAGGUCAGUAUGCCCCGAAUAUCCCGGGCUACACGCGAGCUACAAUGGUUGGUACAAUGGGUAUCUACCCCGAAAGGGGAUGGAAAUCUCCUAAAGCCAAUCUUAGUCCGGAUUGAGGGCUGCAACUCGCCCUCAUGAAGCUGGAAUCCGUAGUAAUCGCGUUUCAACAGAACGCGGUGAAUACGUCCCUGCUCCUUGCAUACACCGCCCGUCAAACCACCCGAGUAGGGUCUGAAUGAGAGCGCUUCCUUCGGAGGCGUUCGAAUUUGGGCUUUGCAAGGGGGGUUAAGUCGUAACAAGGUA